GUCGGGAAUCUUGGACAAUGGGCGCAAGCCUGAUCCAGCCAUGCCGCGUGAAUGAUGAAGGCCUUAGGGUUGUAAAAUUCUUUCGUGGGGGACGAUAAUGACGGUACCCCAAGAAGAAGCUCCGGCUAACUUCGUGCCAGCAGCCGCGGUAAUACGAAGGGGGCUAGCGUUGUUCGGAAUUACUGGGCGUAAAGCGCGUGUAGGCGGGCCGUUAAGUCGGGGGUGAAAUCCCAGAGCUCAACUCUGGAACUGCCUUCGAUACUGGCGACCUGGACCCAAGUAGAGGCGAGUGGAAUUACGAGUGUAGAGGUGAAAUUCGUAGAUAUUCGUAGGAACACCAGUGGCGAAGGCGACUCGCUGGACUUGUGGUGACGCUGAGACGCGAAAGCGUGGGGAGCAAACAGGAUUAGAAACCCCAGUAGUCC
This 425-nucleotide ribosomal RNA is filed under the name uncultured bacterium. RNAcentral describes it as "bacterial SSU rRNA". It matches the Rfam family "Bacterial small subunit ribosomal RNA", at positions 354 to 796 of the family's 1533-position model. The record is from RNAcentral.